This 3094-nucleotide long non-coding RNA is filed under the name Marmota monax (woodchuck). The record is from RNAcentral. Lineage: Eukaryota; Metazoa; Chordata; Mammalia; Rodentia; Sciuridae.
AUGCAUCCACCUGUGAGGUGGAAUGUGCUAUCUGAUGGGCAGCCUGUCAAUAGUACUACCCUACAGAUUAGGAUGUGGUCAGGUGGAAAAAGAACAGGUGGAUUAUGCUCUGUGAAGUCCUCCGUCGGGUGCAUGCUCUGGGGCAGACUUCUGCUCUGGGCAGUGCUGUCCACGGAGCCAAAGUCAUGGUGCUGAAACCUGAAAGCUCAGAGCAGGCAAAGGAGCUUGGAAAUCAUCUGAAUUUACUCUCUUUUGCAGACACUAUGUCUGAGAGUCAAUGUGUUGUCCAUCUCUUCCUCCAGACCACGCUGCAAACUGAUCAAGGUAAUGGAAACAGUGGAACUCGAAUACUCGGCUCUCCUGACUCCCAGUCAGUGCCUUCUCAAUACGCAGUGAUGCGUGAGGUUGUUUCUGGCUUUGAGUUAACUUCCGGGCUGGAAGACAGUUCCCACAACGGCUGGGAUCUGGAUCUGUCUACUCUUUUUUCAUGGAGCGGGGGGAUAUGGUCCCUGCCCUUCUUUCUCCCUAGCAGUAGCUCUCUCCCCACCCUGCUUGUGACAUGGUCAGUGUAAAUUUUAAUGUGCUAGAUGGCCAGCCAUCCCCCUCCCUAACAGGCCUCGCAUGCUGCAUAUUCUUUUGUUACAUACCUUGAUCUGCUUUGAUUUUGAGAUAACCAUAUAUGUGUGUCUGCCUUUUGGCUAGAUUAUAAGGCUCUGGGGCUCUGGAGGGGUUAGCUCCAUUGUUGAAAUCCAGCUUUGUCCCUUGGUAGAUCCUUCUGGAUCUUGGACAAGUCACUUUGACAUUCUAAUUUUUUUUUAAUAUACACUUUGAGAUAAAAGCACCCCUAGCUUACAUAUGGUGAAAGUAAUAGACGCAUGUGAAGUUGGGAUCCACUUUUCCCAUCCAGUCCUACUGCUAACUCCAUUCUGUGGCUCUCAGGUGCGGGCCACCAUCUCCUAACCAGAGGGGCCACCAUCUCCUAACCAGAGCCAGGCUCCUUACCUCCCGUGUGACCCUCAUCCAAGUGUGCUUUCAAGACAAAGAAGACCUGAGGUCCCAGGGAGGUAGAGCUUUAUGUCAUUCACAGGGUCACCUUCUGGCCCCUUUCCAGGAGGCUGUCUCACAGAUCACCAGCUGUCCUUUCUGUUCACCUUCUGUCCCUGCUCUGUAGCUCAGCUCUGCCAUCACCCAUUCUUUCACUUCCUAGCUCACUCCCAUUUUGUUUGAAGGAUGGUAAUGAAUUCUUUCAGGAGAAAAAUCUUUCCUGCUUCCCUUUGUGCUGAUUAAUGUUUGUUGGAUUGAGACUAACUGGAUGAUACCUGAUGUGGGACUUUUACCUAGGCCUUGGUUUCUUAUGCACAGGCAUAUUAUACUACUUCCUGUCCCGAAGCUCACAACAGGAAGUGACCUCCUUCCUGAUCCUUUGUUUCCCAUGCAGCCCACCUAGACUGGAUGCAGCUUCAGGAAGGCCUGCCUUGCGUUGCUCCAGCUUGCAAAGCCCCUUCGCAUCCAGUGGAGAUGAACUGAGUUAGAUUACUGAUUCUUGAAAUUCAUGGUGGCUUUUAAUUAAAUGGGGAGUUUCCCUUUUGCAGAAGACAUCAGAUUCCUCUGAGAGCAUCUCAGCUUGUUUUCUAGGAAAAUACGUUUCUAACAUAUGUGGGGUAGAAACUGAGUAGAAAUUGACCCUUCAGAGCCUGGUGCCCUGGUUUCUAAAGGAGAAAGAUACUUUGAAGAACAGAGACAAAAGUCUUUGGAGCUGGGAAGUCAGGGAGAAAGGAGGUAAAGAAUGGGGAGAGAAGGACCCAGGAGACAGGAGUGAGCAUGAUGACAGGAUGUUGUGCCCUUGGUGUUAUGGACUUUCACCCUAGCACCACGAUUUCUCCCAAAGAAUGGAGGAGCCCCGUGUACCUGGCUCUCUUGAGGAUAUGGUGAAAAACUGCUUCUGCCCGUGGGUGGUGGAAGGCUAGUCCAGAGAUUGCACAUCUCUGUGAUUUCACAGAGUCUGGAUGGAAGAGGAACGUAGGAAACCAACUCUGGACUUCCCCAAACCUUUACAAUUCAAGUCUGAUGCAAUGUGUGUGGAGGGCAGUAAUUCAAGGAAAUUAAGUCAAGAAUGCAAGGGGCAGAAGGCCCCCAACUGACCUCUGGGUUAGACUCAAGUGGAGCCUGGCACAGAGUCAUGCAUUUAAAAUAAUAUCCUGCCAGGAUUUUUGUUUCCUCAGAAAGGGAUAUGGCAAAAUUUCAAAGGGAAACUGUUGAUAUCAGGAGGCCACUUGGGGUCACCUCAUGCAAACUCCCAUCUAGCGUGGGCAUUAAGUGAACUUUAGGAACUUGGGGUCCUGCUCUUAUUCUCCCCACUCUGCCUUCUCUCUCAAUAUAUACCAGUGGAAGCUUCCUCCAGUGACUUGGCAUCUUCCAAAUGCCACUUCCCCUUCCACUGAGAUCCAUGGAGCCAGAUUGGCAGAUCCUACAACCUGAGACGGGGUCACUGGAGCACAGGGGCCAGCCAUGCUCAGCUUUCUCAGCUGCCUCAUCAGGAAGAGGAGACUACCAACUAGAAACCUGUGAAUUCUUGGAGAAUGAACAAGUUGGUUUUCUGCAGUUUCCCCACUUGAUUCCUUUCCCAAGUCCCCAGGCAGCCUUCUUGUCUCCCUGCAAGGCUGCAGCCAGAAGCAAUUACAGUGGCAAUACAAGCCCGGAAGAUGGGGACCGAUAUUUUUCAGUAUGACCGACCCACAGCUGUUCAUAUAUUUGGUUUCUUUAACAUUCUUUCCACUGGCCUUAACCAAAGAAGGAGUUUCUUAAAGUAUAACAUGGUAUACAUUAAAAUUAAUAGUUAAAGUUCUUAAAUUAAAGAAUGACCUUACAUAAUUCUUGGGUUAACAAAAUCACGACUGCAAUAAUAAACUACUUGGAAAAUAACCAACAGUGAGAAUAUUGCGUAUCAAACUCAUGCCAAUGUUGUUCUCACGGGAAAUGUCGCUGCUCUGAAUGCAUUCAGAAAUAAACAAUAAAAAUUGAAAAGAAUUAAACUGAGAAGUGUUAAGAAGUCAGAAUAAAACAGAACUAUGGAAAGCAAGAAUUUUUUCAAAGA